UCCCUGUUAGUCCAGUGGUUAGGACUUGGCUCUUUUGCUGCCGUGGCCCGGGUUCAAUCCCUGGUCAGGGAA
Molecule: non-coding RNA, 72 nt
Organism: Orcinus orca (killer whale)
Lineage: Eukaryota; Metazoa; Chordata; Mammalia; Artiodactyla; Delphinidae
Source: the annotation of a RefSeq genome assembly